CCUACGGGAGGCUGCAGUGAGGAAUAUUGGUCAAUGGGCGCGAGACUGAACCAGCCAAGUAGCGUGAGGGAGGACUGCCCUACGGGUUGUAAACUUCUUUUAUCAAGGAACAAAGUGAGGCACGUGUGCCUUUUUGAAUGUACUGUACGAAUAAGGAUCGGCUAACUCCGUGCCAGCAGCCGCGGUAAUACGGAGGAUGCGAGCGUUAUCCGGAUUUAUUGGGUUUAAAGGGUGCGUAGGCGGGUUGAUAAGUUAGCGGUGAAAUGUCCGGGCUUAACUCGGGAGCUGCCGCUAAUACUGGUGAUCUAGAGUGUAGGUGAGGUAUGCGGAAUGUAGGGUGUAGCGGUGAAAUGCUUAGAGAUCGUACAGAACACCGAUUGCGAAGGCAGCUUACC
Molecule: ribosomal RNA, 395 nt
Filed under: uncultured bacterium
Lineage: Bacteria
Description: partial 16S ribosomal RNA
Rfam family: Bacterial small subunit ribosomal RNA
Source: RNAcentral